This 324-nucleotide ribosomal RNA is filed under the name uncultured bacterium. Its description in RNAcentral is "bacterial SSU rRNA". It matches the Rfam family "Bacterial small subunit ribosomal RNA", at positions 28 to 334 of the family's 1533-position model. The record is from RNAcentral.
GACGAACGCUAGCGGCGUGCUUAACACAUGCAAGUCGAACGGAGUUCCUUGGAUAGAGGCUUCGGCCAAUUGAAUUGGAACUUAGUGGCGGACUGGUGAGUAACGCGUGAGGAACCUGCCUUUCAGAGGGGGACAACAGUUGGAAACGACUGCUAAUACCGCAUGACACAUUUGGGCGGCAUCGCUCGGAUGUCAAAGAUUUUAUCGCUGAAAGAUGGCCUCGCGUCUGAUUAGCUAGUUGGUGGGGUAACGGCCCACCAAGGCGACGAUCAGUAACCGGACUGAGAGGUUGACCGGCCACAUUGGGACUGAGAUACGGCCCAG